RNAcentral lists this long non-coding RNA (31914 nucleotides) under Citrus sinensis (sweet orange). RNAcentral describes it as "long non-coding RNA (CSIN_LNC002292)". The record is from RNAcentral. Lineage: Eukaryota; Viridiplantae; Streptophyta; Magnoliopsida; Sapindales; Rutaceae.
GAAAGGGCAAAUUCUUGAAGGAGGAAUUGCGUUUAAUAAAGCGCACGGAAUGCAUAUCUACGAUUACUUAGGCGUUGACUCAAGUUUCAAUGAUGUUUUCAGUAAUGGAUCUACGAUUACAUGGGCGUUGACUCAAGAUUCAAUGAUGUUUUCAACAAUGGAAUGUUAAGCCACACUUCUGUUGUCAUGGAGAAGGUCCUAGAAUCAUACAAAGGCUUUGAGCAUGUUAAGAAGCUUGUCGAUGUUGGUGGCGGCUUAGGAGCUACUCUUAACAUUAUAAUUUCCAAAUACUCUCAUAUUAAGGGUAUUAAUUAUGAUUUACCUUAUGUUAUUAAAAAUGCCCCAUCUUACCCUGGUAUGUUACUUACAAAAUUUAUAUACUAUUUUUGUUAAUGAUUCAUUGAUGGGAUACACAAUAGCUAACAAAAAUUAUUAUUAUUAUUAUUAUUUUAAUUUCAGGCAUUGAACAUGUAGGUGGAGAUGUUAAAGUAUGAGCUUUAAACUGAAUUCCAGAAGAUCAACCGUCAUGUCAGUCUGUGGUAAUGUUGAUAUACGACAUGUCAGCUAUAAAGGAUACAAGCCUGUAUGACAAACUUUGGUCGUCAGCCAAAGCUUUAAGUGAAGCACGUAAAUGUCACGUGAUUCCACUUACUCUGAACGGCAUGAAAGAAUGUCGUUUUGGGGCUUGCUGUUUGUAAGGGUUUCAACACGUGUCCUGGAAGCUGUUAAAAUCAGUUAUUGCAGGCGGGAGAAUUCUGGGUUUGUAAGCUAACAAACCCAGAUUACAGCUGGUUGACAGGGGGUCUUUGUAACGGGCUCUAAGCUAGUAUAAAUAGUCUAAGGGACUGGGAAAUCAGAGAGGGUGUUGUUUGUAACUUCGUCUCUAAACUUGUAACUUGUUCUUGGUUAUUGAAUAAAAGCUGUUGCUCUGUUCUUCAGUGGAUGUAGGCUGCCUCCAGCCGAACCACUUAUAUUUGUUGUUCUUUGCAUAUUGUUUCUGGGUGAUUUAGAUGUGUGAAAUUGGUUUAACCUUUCUUGAAACAUUGAUUAGAGAGUUCAGCUAGAUCCUGGAGAUUCUUGAUUGGAUAAUAAUUCUGGUCUAGGUUCAACAAAUUGGUAUCAGAGCCUUAUCUCUGAUCUUUGAUCCAAGAAAUGGGAACCUCUAAAUUUGAGGUAGAAAAAUUCACUGGAGAAAACGACUUCCAUCUAUGGCGGCUCAAGAUGAGAGCUCUGUUGGUUCAUCAGGGGCUGGAGGAGACUUUGGGUGAUCCAAGAUCUGAAAAGAAACCCAGCAAGCUUUCUGAUGAUGAAAUGCGAGAUGCUUUGGAUAAAGCUCAUAGCACACUAAUCUUGAGUCUGGGAGAUGGAGUUCUCAGGGAAGUGGGAGAUCAAACAACUGCUGCAGGCCUCUGGAUAAAACUUGAAGACCUAUAUACCAAGAAGUCUCUAACCAAAAGACUUUGUACCAAAAACAAAGAAGGCAGAAACAAAAGCUGGGGAAGGUCUGAUGGCAAGAGGAAGACCUGAGAAGAAAGAUUACAACAAAGGGAAGAAAAGAGACAAGUCAAAGUCCAAGAAUAAAAAUCUGAAAUGCUUUCACUGUCACAAGGAAGGGCAUUUCAAGAGGGACUUCCCAGAUAGAAAGAACAAGGGAAAGGAAGGGCAUGGAAAGAAUGGUGAUGCUGCUGUUGCAUCAGAGGAUGAAGGCUAUGACUCAGCUGGUGUCCUUUUGGCUUCUGAAACUCAGACAAACAGUAAGUGGAUUCUUGAUUCUGGAUGUUCAUAUCACAUGUGCCCUGAUCAAAAUCUUUUUACUACUUAUAAUGCUUUUAAUGGAGGUGAGGUUCUGAUGGGGAAUAACACAAUGUGUAAGGUUGUUGGGUGAGGAACCAUUAGAUUGAAGAUGUUUGAUGGGAUGAUUAGGGAGCUAAGAGAUGUGAGGCAUAUUCCUGAUCUAAAGAGGAAUUUAAUAUCUCUAGGCACUCUAGAUCAAGUUGGAUGCUCCAUUAAAGUUGAAUAUGGGGUAAUGAAGGUUGUUAGAGGGUCUAUAGUGGUUAUGAAAGGGAAUAAGCAAAAUGGCUUAUAUGUGCUUCAAGGCACAGCUGUAACUGGGGAUGUUAGUAUCUCAGCAAGUCUGGGUUUGGAUAAAACUCUCAUAUGGCAUCUAAGGUUAGGACAUAUGAGUGAGAAGGGGCUAAAAAUUUUAGAAAAACAGGGAGUCUUAGGGGAUGAUAAGUUGGGAUCUCUGGAGUUCUGUGAGGUAUGUGUCCUAGGCAAGUCCUCAAGAACUAGUUUCAAAACUGCAGUGCAUAACACAAAAGGGACCUUAGAUUACAUCCAUUCAUAUCUGUGGGGGCCAUCACAGACUGUCUCUUUAGGUGGAGCAAAAUACUUUCUCUCUUUUAUAGAUGAUUACUCGAGAAUGGUAUGGGUUUAUGUCUUGAAAGGCAAGGAUGAAGUCUUUGAGAGGUUUAAACAAUGGAAAGCAUUGGUAGAAACUCAGAGUGGUAGGAGGAUUAAGAGACUGAGGACUGAUAAUGGGCUUGAAUUCUGCAACAAACAGUUUGAUGAUUUCUGCAAACUCAAUGGCAUAGCAAGACACAAAACAGUGAGUUACACUCCACAGCAGAAUGGGCUAGCAGAAAGAAUGAAUAGGACUUUGAUGGAUAAAGUCAGAUGUUUACUGAUCCACUCAAAGCUUCCUCAAACACUGUGGGCUGAAACCUUGAUGACAGCAUGUUAUCUAGUGAAUAGAAGCCCAUCCAGUGCCUUAAACUUCAAGACACCAGUAGAGAUGUGGUCAGGAAGGGCAGCAAAUUAUUCAAAUCUAAAGAUCUUUGGUUGUCCAGCAUAUGCACAUGUCAAGCAAGGGAAGCUGGAGCCAAGAGCACUGAAAUGUGUAUUCCUGGGUUAUCCUGAAGGUGUCAAAGGUUAUAAACUAUGGUGCACUGAAAUGAGGCCACCAAAGUGCAUAGUCAGCCGAGAUGUAGUCUUCAAUGAAACUGCUGCAGGCCUCUGGAUAAAACUUGAAGACCUAUAUACCAAGAAGUCUCUAACCAAAAGACUUUGUACCAAAAAUAGGCUGUAUACUUUGCAAAUGGAGGAAGGAAGCUCUCUGGCAACUCACAUUGAUAGCUUUAACAGGAUCAUCCUGGAUCUUGAAGAUAUCAAUGUGAGUCUUGAGGAUGAAGACAAGGCAAUAAUCUUGUUAGCAUCUCUCCCACCAUCCUAUGAACACUUUGUAGAUACACUGCUCUAUGGAAGGCAGUCAAUAUCAAUGGCUGAUGUAAAGGACUCUCUUAGUUCUAAAGAAGUCACAAAGAAGACAGAAACAAGAGCUGGGGAAGGUCUGAUGGCAAGAGGAAGACCUGAGAAGAAAGAAUACAACAAAGGGAAGAAAAGGGACAAGUCAAAGUCCAAGAAUAAAAACCUGAAAUGCUUUCAUUGCCAUAAAGAAGGGCAUUUCAAAAGGGACUGUCCAGAUAGAAAGAACAAGGAUAAAGAAGGGCAUGGAAAGAAUGGUGAUGCUGCUGUUGCAUCCGAGGAUGAGGGCUAUGACUCAGCUGGUGUCCUUUUGGCCUCUGAAACUCAGACAAACAGUAAGUGGAUUCUUGACUCUGGAUGUUCAUAUCACAUGUGCCCUGAUCAAAAUCUUUUUACUACUUAUAAUGCUUUUAAUGGAGGUGAGGUUCUGAUGGGGAAUAACACAAUGUGUAAGGUUGUUGGGUUAGGAACCAUUAGAUUUAAGAUGUUUGAUGGGAUGAUUAGGGAGCUAAGAGAUGUAAGGCAUAUUCCUGAUCUAAAGAGGAAUUUAAUAUCUCUAGGCACUCUAGAUCAAGUUGGAUGCUCCAUUAAAGUUGAAUAUGGGGUAAUGAAGGUUGUUAGAGGGUCUAUAGUGGUUAUGAAAGGGAAUAAGCAAAAUGGCUUAUAUGUGCUUCAAGGCACAGCUGUAACUGGGGAUGUUAGUAUCUCAGCAAGUCUGGGUUUGGAUAAAACUCUCAUAUGGCAUCUAAGGUUAGGACAUAUGAGUGAGAAGGGGCUAAAAAUUCUAGAAAAACAGGGAGUCUUAGGGGAUGAUAAGUUGGGNNNNNNNNNNNNNNNNNNNNNNNNNNNNNNNNNNNNNNNNNNNNNNNNNNNNNNNNNNNNNNNNNNNNNNNNNNNNNNNNNNNNNNNNNNNNNNNNNNNNNNNNNNNNNNNNNNNNNNNNNNNNNNNNNNNNNNNNNNNNNNNNNNNNNNNNNNNNNNNNNNNNNNNNNNNNNNNNNNNNNNNNNNNNNNNNNNNNNNNNNNNNNNNNNNNNNNNNNNNNNNNNNNNNNNNNNNNNNNNNNNNNNNNNNNNNNNNNNNNNNNNNNNNNNNNNNNNNNNNNNNNNNNNNNNNNNNNNNNNNNNNNNNNNNNNNNNNNNNNNNNNNNNNNNNNNNNNNNNNNNNNNNNNNNNNNNNNNNNNNNNNNNNNNNNNNNNNNNNNNNNNNNNNNNNNNNNNNNNNNNNNNNNNNNNNNNNNNNNNNNNNNNNNNNNNNNNNNNNNNNNNNNNNNNNNNNNNNNNNNNNNNNNNNNNNNNNNNNNNNNNNNNNNNNNNNNNNNNNNNNNNNNNNNNNNNNNNNNNNNNNNNNNNNNNNNNNNNNNNNNNNNNNNNNNNNNNNNNNNNNNNNNNNNNNNNNNNNNNNNNNNNNNNNNNNNNNNNNNNNNNNNNNNNNNNNNNNNNNNNNNNNNNNNNNNNNNNNNNNNNNNNNNNNNNNNNNNNNNNNNNNNNNNNNNNNNNNNNNNNNNNNNNNNNNNNNNNNNNNNNNNNNNNNNNNNNNNNNNNNNNNNNNNNNNNNNNNNNNNNNNNNNNNNNNNNNNNNNNNNNNNNNNNNNNNNNNNNNNNNNNNNNNNNNNNAAAACACCUAAGAGGUUUGCAUAUGCAGAUUUGAUUGCAUAUGCUCUAACAGCAGCCCAUGAAUUAGACAAUGAUGAGCCCAAAACCUACAGAGAAGCUGUUUCAGGAAAGGAUGCAGAUAAGUGGAUAAAAGCUAUGAAGGAUGAAAUGGAGUCAUUACACAAAAAUAACACCUGGAAGCUUGUAAAAGGGCCAGAAAAUAAAAAGGCAGUAGGCUGUAAAUGGGUUUACAAGAUCAAGCAGGGUAUACCAGGGGUUGAAUCCAUGAGAUAUAAAGCUAGGCUGGUUGCCAAAGGCUACACACAGAGGGAGGGGAUUGAUUUUACAGAAGUCUAAUCACCUGUAGUUAGGCAUACCUCAAUAAGACUGAUCCUAGCUCUGGUUGCAGUUCAUAACAUGCAUCUUGAACAGAUGGAUGUUAAGACUGCAUUUUUACAUGGUGAGCUUGAAGAACAAAUAGUAAUGUCUCAACCUGAAGGCUUUGAAGACCAGUCAAAUGGUGAUUGGGUAUGCCUUCUGAAGAAAUCACUUUAUGGCCUCAAGCAGUCUCCAAGACAGUGGUAUCUCAGGUUUGACAGCUUUAUGAUAAAACUUUGUUUUCAGAGGUGUAAUCUAGACUGCUGUGUUUACUACAAAGAGAUAUCAGGGGACAUGGUUUAUCUGAUUCUGUAUGUGGAUGACAUGCUUAUUGCCAGCAAAAGCAUGGGACACAUAAAUUUUCUGAAACAACAACUCAAAGGUGAAUUUGAGAUGAAGGAUCUGGGACCAGCUAAGAAGAUACUUGGAAUGCAGCUAAUUAGAGAUUGGAAAUCUGGCACCUUGUUUCUUACACAGGAAGAUUACAUCAGGAGAGUACUUGAUAAGUUUGACAUGACUACUGCCAAACCAGUGCAAACACCAUUACCAGCCCAUUUCAGAUUAUCAGAACAACAGUGCCCAAUAACUGAUGCUGACAAGUCUGAAAUGAUAAAAAUACCUUAUGCAAGUGCUGUAGGCUGCUUAAUGUAUGCUAUGGUACUCACCAGACCUGAUAUAGCACAUGCAGUCAGUGUGGUCAGCAGGUAUAUGUCUAAUCCUGGAAAAGAACAUUGGAAGGCUGUAAGGUGGAUACUCAGGUAUCUAAGGGGAACUUCUGGGCAUGGUCUGAUAUAUAGGGGACAGAGAAGAGAUGGCAGUUUAAUUGUGGGAUAUGUGGAUGCUGAUUAUAUUAUGAUUUACCUUAUGUUAUUAAAAAUGCCCCAUCUUACCCUGGUAUGUUACUUACAAAAUUUAUAUACUAUUUUUGUUAAUGAUUCAUUGAUGGGAUACACAAUAGCUAACAAAAAUUAUUAUUAUUAUUAUUAUUUUAAUUUCAGGCAUUGAACAUGUAGGUGGAGAUGUUAAAGUAUGAGCUUUAAGCUGAAUUCCAGAAGAUCAACCGUCAUGUCAGUCUGUGGUAAUGUUGAUAUACGAUAUGUCAGCUAUAAAGGAUACAAGCCUGUAUGACAAACUUUGGUCGUCAGCCAAAGCUUUAAGUGAAGCAUGUAAAUGUCACGUGAUUCCACUUACUCUGAACGGCAUGAAAGAAUGUCGUUUUGGGGCUUGCUGUUUGUAAGGGUUUCAACACGUGUCCUGGAAGCUGUUAAAAUCAGUUAUUGCAGGCGGGAGAAUUCUGGGUUUGUAAGCUAACAAACCCAGAUUACAGCUGGUUGACAGGGGGUCUUUGUAACGGGCUCUAAGCUAGUAUAAAUAGUCUAAGGGACUGGGAAAUCAGAGAGGGUGUUGUUUGUAACUUCGUCUCUAAACUUGUAACUUGUUCUUGGUUAUUGAAUAAAAGCUGUUGCUCUGUUCUUCAGUGGAUGUAGGCUGCCUCCAGCCGAACCACUUAUAUUUGUUGUUCUUUGCAUAUUGUUUCUGGGUGAUUUAGAUGUGUGAAAUUGGUUUAACCUUUCUUGAAACAUUGAUUAGAGAGUUCAGCUAGAUCCUGGAGAUUCUUGAUUGGAUAAUAAUUCUGGUCUAGGUUCAACAUGAGACUUGUUUGAAAGUGUUCUUGAGACAGAUACCAUUUUCAUGAAGGUUAUAUGUGUGUGUGUGUGUUAUUUGAAAUUAUCGUUAUAAGGAAAAAUUGAUUUAGGGUGAAUCACACUUUUCUCCCUAAUAUUUUGUAGAUUUACCUUAACCUGUUACUCACUUGAUAUUAGAAUUUUCCCAAAAACACUUAAAAGGAAUACCAAAAUAUUAUGAAAACUGUAAAAAAAAAAAAGGUUAAUUCACUGUAUACGUAUGUUUUGUUCUAUAACAUAAAUUGAUCAUAUAUAUUCAGAUUAAUAGAUCUAAUGAGAAUUAACAUGAAUAUUAAACUUUUGCAGUGGGUCCUUAAUGGUUUUGAUGAUGAGCAGUCCUUGAAAUUGUUGAAAAAUUGUUACAAAGCUCUUCCGGAUGGUGGGAAAUUGCUUAAUGUUAAUGCAGCAUUUCCAGAAGUGCCUGAGAAUAGCGCGACUUCAAGGGAGAUCUCCCUCUUGGAUACAAUUUGUUUAAUCCAAGUUCCUCAUGGAAGAGAGCGGACCAAACAAGAAUACAGUGACUUAGCAAUCAAAGCUGGAUUUAAAGGCGUCAACUACGAAUAUUGUGCAUGCAAUUUAUAUGUUAUGGAAUUCCUCAAAUAAUAAAUUGCUUUAUUUGUAUUAGGAAAGGUCUUCUCAACUCUGUUUGGGGAGUCACCAAUUUCUGGUUUGUGUUACUUAAUUUUUCUUCUCGUUUGGCCUUAGCGCUUCUCUUAUGUACUCUUUUUCAUUCUAUGAACAUUUGUUUCUUUAAAGGAGAUUGACUGCUUUAACAUAGCUCUUAUGCACUCUUCUCCAUUUUAAUUUUUAUCGAGGAAAAAAAUAGUGUAUUCAUCUUACUUUGUUAUUUUUUUUCUUUUCCUGGUUAUUUCAAAGUUAUGUUGUGCAAAAAUCAGCAAUAUAUAAUUAAUAAUUUAAAGUAAUAAAGUUUGAUUUUUGAACGUAAUAAAAUACACAGUAAAUGAAUCAAAUGAAGUCUGAAAAUAUAUUGAAAAUGGAUUAUAGAGAUAUUAAUUUUUCAUUAAACAACUACUGAGAGCUAAUGAUGUAGAACGUUAUUUUAGGAAUUUUAAAAUUUUAAAAUUUUAUUAUUUUAGGAUUUUCUAUUUUAAUUAGAGUCAAUUAUGAUAUUCUAUUAUUUUAAAACUUUCUAUUUUCAUUAUAGUCAAUUAAAGUAUGAGAUUUAGUUAACUUAGGAAAGUAUCUUUUAUUUUCAUUUUAGAUUAUGAUUUAGUUUUUUAUUUUUAAAUUAGCUUAGGGAAAUUAUAUUUUAAUUCCAUUAUAAUUGUGAUUUAGUUUUCUUUUUGAGUUAAUUUACGGAAGUGAGUUUUCUUUUAAUAUAAAUAUUAAAUAGAGAGGUCUUGUCAUUUUUUUAGACUCAAUUAUUCUAUAAAUUUUAUUACAAAAUUUAUUUUUUCUAUCUUCUUUACAAUUCCACUUCGUAAGCUACUAUAGGUCAAAGGGGUUAAAAAAAUAGUAGAAGUCUUUCGAAACAAGUCACAUAUGACAGACACAUCAGAACUAGAAGUAAAUAAUAUAGUUUGCACAGGCAAAAGGAUUUCCAGCGUUUCGUCAAAGGCACAAUUGACCCAACGCCUGAUUGACCAAAACAAGUAGUUGAUUAUUGUAAUGGAUCCGCCACCAUACCAUAAAUUUUAUCUUUAUUCAACAAAGCCGUUGGAUGCAUUUUUGUUCAGUCUAACGACUGAAAUUAUUUAUUGGAGAAUUGAUGCAGCAACUUACAACCGUUGCAACGGUUUGUAUAUUAAUCUAAUUGCAUCAACGCGUUUUCCAAAAAUUUCUCAGCACUGCAUUAACAACACUAUUUCAUCUGAAAAUCGAUCUGGAGAUAGCAAUUAACAAACAAAAUUGGAACUGGAGGAUCAGAUUUUUUUGUUGUGAUUAAACAUUUGUGAUGAUUCGGUACAUGGAUAUGUUCUUUCACUUGCAGUCAAGCGAUGACGAAAUUAUAAUCAUCGCGGGGAAGUGCAACCAAAAGCUAGGGGUGAUGAAAGUUUAGGCAUAUAUCAAAUCAGAGUGAAUCUCGCGUCACUUUAAUCCGUUCUUGUGCCGAUUGAAUCACCCGAGGCAGUAAGUAAUUCCUUACUAAAACUAGUAAUUUUUUUUUUUUUAUUUGAAGAGAUUUAAAACUUGUAAUUACGAUUGGUUGAACACUUCACAAAUGAGUUAAUUGAACAAUUGGUAAUGGGGUGAUGUGAGGAAGUCUCCCGGGGCUAUGGCUGAGCUGAGGAAGCAAGUUGGAUGUAAAAUGAAAUUCUUUGUGCGAACACAAUGGAACCAAUAUCAGUUCAAUCUCUAUAUGAUAGAGUUCAAGUAUAGAUUUUACUAUUUGAGGUACGUUUUAAGUUCAUAAUCAAAAUUUACAUUUUUUGAAACAACCAUUUGUUGUAUGAUGGGUGAGGAACAAUAACAUUAUCAAUUCCCUCAGGCUAAAGGACACUACAGCCUUCUGUGUUAAGCCGUUUGCUUCAAUUUUCCAUUUCUAAUUACAGCUUCUUUAUCGUCAACACCAUCCUUAACCUUAAGUAAGCUUUUUUCUUUUAUUAUUAUUAUUGUUGUUGUUGUUGUUGCCUGAUUCAUUGAACUUUUCCAAUUUUGAAGUCGGUUAGUGAUGCUUUGAGCAAAUUUGGGAUCACAUUCGUUAAUUCGUUUGCUUUACAUGUUAAUAAAUAAUAGAGCAAUUUUAAAACUGCAUGUAACCUGUUUGAAAAAAUUUCUUCUAUAGAUAACUUUUUUUUCCUAGUCUAUUGGUUGUGAAUAAUGUUGUGAAGUUGAUAAAAGAUGGGAAUUCUUUAGUUUUGAUUUUACUCUUUGAGGAACUAUAGAACAUGACAAAUAGAGUUUGUUGUGUGAGGGGCACAUGUUCUCUCACAAGUGCUUGGUUCUUUAAUAUACAAAUAUAAGACACCUUAUGAUGAAAAAUGGAGUUGAUAAACUGACUCCAGACUAUCUGACCCAUUACAUUUUGGAUUUCGAUUCUUAGAUGAGAUUCCUCUUUCCAUUCUUUCAAUUUUCAAAUUUACUAGUGGCACUUUCAUUUGGUAAACUACACACACACACACACACACACAUACAGAUAUACACUAAUCAAUUAUAUUGACUUAUUUUCGUUUUCUUUUGAUUCAUGCUGCCGAUAUAUAUAAAAUUUUAUUUGUCAAAUUUAGAGGAGAAUUAGUUUUGCUACAUAUAGAUAAUGAACCCAAAUAUGUUUACAUGCAUGUCUGGGGUUUGUUUUAUCUUUGAGGAGCAGCAUUACCCAUCAAAAGUUUGAAGAGCUCUGUGAACUUAAGCAUUCGGGGUUGAAAAUGGAUAAGAUAUAUGCAGUGGAGUUAAUUAGAAGAGCUACUAGAGUGCCAAAGUUGCAGGUUUUCUCUAUCCUCUUUGUUUUGGUAGUUACCUGAGUAUUAAAUUCUUGAGGCCGGUAAGAUGGUAGACUUUAGCUCAAUUUAAGAGUAGAAAAUAAUAUAUGUUUACUUGUGUUAGUCUUAAUUUUUAAUCACUUAGCCUCAAAUAAGAAAUUUUUUAUGUUUGCUCUGCAAUGAUGUUAUUUAGUGUUAAUAGCUUUAUUUUGUUACUAUUUGUCUACACAGAUUCUUGUUCUCAAAAGACCUUUUACUUUAAAUAUUUGGCAUAAGGACAAUCUCAUUUAAUACCAUCAAUAAUUUUCAUUUUUUCUCAUUAGUUUUAAUAUGUUUGAUAACUGUAUGGUUAAGCAAUCUAUGCAAUGUUAUCUUGUCAUUAGUUUGAGCUCAUUUUUUAUUACAAUUAUGAAUAUUUGUUAUGAAUGAUAUCAUACUGGAAAAUAUUGUUAACUUGUUAAUUUCGUAAAUGUGAUAUCUUGUCAAAGUGACUAAUAGCAUUUCAUCAUGCUAUGAGUUAAACAUGGAACAAAUGAUGACAUACAGUUGUGGAAUGUGGCAGAUCUCCAGGACUCUUAUGUGCUCAUGCUUGCAGACGUAUAUUUUUGCUGCAUACUUUUAGGUUCGAUGGCUUUCAUUUCUAAUUGAAGUGUAUUUGAUUGCGGUGCAACGUGGGGUGACUUAUGUUGUCUUAUACAAUGAAAUGAGUGAUUACAUAAUUUAGGAAAAGCUCGAGUGUGGGUGAACGAUAUAGAGUGCUAUAUGAGUUAUGCUAACUGUUGUGACCUUGAUUUUGCAUUGAUUUUGGGCAUUGAUUUUGGUUGAUAAACAAAUGUGUGGUGGAUCAUGGAUGGAUGUAUGGAUGAGGAUAAUAAAUAAAUGAAAAUAUACAUCAGACACAAGCAGAUAAAUUAAGGGUAAUGGAACUUGAUUGAGGUUAGUACUUCUUCUACUACAAAGCAAAUCAUCACCCACAGAAAUUCGUACAAGCAUGUUUCUGUUGGCAAGUUUAGCAGAUGGAGACAACAUAGGAGCUAUACGCACCAUUAUCUAAAAGAAGCAAAGUAAUGUUGUGUUUAUCAAAGUUUUCAAAUUAAUGAUGUGCUCGUCAAGAUUUUACACGUAACAAAUUAGACUGAAAUUUAACCGUCAUUUACAAAGAAGUUUGAUUUAUUCACUAACCGCAAACAAGUACAUGCUGCUUUGUUUGCUGUUUGUAGAAAAUUGAGUCACGUCGACUAAGUUCUAACAAUAAACAUUAGUAAAGCUUUUUAUAUAUCCUUAUUGGCACCUCUUUCAAGAAAAAAGAUAAUGUAGUCCAUAAUGUAUGCAUUAAGUUGUGUUUAUUUGCUAGAGUAAAAGUGAGGAGAGUAGAUUCAUUCUAAUUUAACAUUUAUUUGCCCAUUUAAAGAGGAGAGUAAGUGUCUCACUCUGUGUGUCUCUCUCAUUUUUUUGAAUGAAGAGUGAGAUUCCCAUUGUUAGGAGAUGAGAAUGAGAAUCUACUUUUACUUUUUUUUUUUUACUCUUCCCUUAUUAAGUAUAAUAUAAUUAUACUUAUUAAAAUAAAAUAAUAUUAUAUUUAUUUAAAAAUAAUAAUAUUAAUAAACUUAUUUAAAUAUAAUAUUAGUAUAUUCAUUGAGAAUUAAUAAUAUUACUGCUGUACGGCCAAGGCGGAUAUACGGUACAGCAGAUUUCUUUUAAAAUUUUUCUAACAGUUGGAUCUCUAAUAAAUUAAUUUCCACAAACCACAGUAUCCUAUAUCUUACUCUAUUCACACCCCCCCCCCCCUAAAUAACAUCAUCAGUUAAUUUAUAUAUAUGUCAAUAGUUUUUAAUUUACUUAUUUAAAAUUAUAAUAAAAUUAAUAAAAAAGUUAUGAUUUACAUAAUUAAAAAUAUUAAUAACUAUUAUUAAUGAAAUAAAUAGUUAUUUUAAAAAUAUUUUUUUAUUCAUUUUGCAAUUAAAACUACAACUCUAUAAAUGAGGGUAAAAUUAUCAUGUAAAUUAAUUCACUCUUAAUUCAAGACAAAGUAAACACAUAAAUGAAAUUUUGAUUAUAAAUUGGAUUCUAAUUCUUAUUUCACACCCGCAAUAUAGGUAAAUAACCUAUUUUUACUCCUACUUCACAUCUCCAUUCUAGGAUUUCAACUCCCUAAGAUUCACACUUCAAUUUGGGAAGUAGACGCUGCUUAAAUGUCAAUGUCAUAAGUCUAUCGAACUGAUAUAUAAAUUCCUCAUCAAAUAACUUCAACGAUUCUUUACAAAUCAUUUUAGGAAAUUACUACUGAUCACUAGCUUUUGAUUCCAUCUCCUUCUAAAUUGCUAAGACAAAUUUGUUUCCACCUUUAAAUAGUUAGUAACCACUGUGCAUAUUUAUCUAACCUUAAGGUUGCUACUGCAUCCAACCAGAUAUUGUUACCCACCACCAUAGUUUUCUUACACCCACAUUUACCUUUUAACAACCUACUUGACCGGUAUGCAUAUAUCUAACGUGGCCAUCUUGAAAGACGUUGGAUCGCUUUGGAUUUUAAAGCAACAGUUAGUUGGAAUAACGAAAGAAUUUGAGGUACCUUACCAUAGUUGCAACAUAGGCGAGUCCGAUUGUAAUUAUUGUGAAUAUAGUCCUUUCUUUUACAACGCGUUAAAUAUGUUUAUAUAUUUUGUAAAAAGUCAAGCAAUGAGAUGAAGGGAACGAUUAUUGUUUUCACCAUAUCAGGUAUCUCAAAUAUUUUUCAUGUUCUGUGUGCCUUCUAGAGGUGCACGGUGAUGGGUGAAAAGAGGAAAAUGAAAAAACAUAAAAACAAAAUUAUAAGUUCCUUUAAUGAGGGGUCGUUUUGGUUCGAUAUGUGUUGGAAAUUUUUUUUGGGUGCCAACUGUCGCUAUCUCCGACUUCAAAAAUUGUCUUGUAAUAUUAAUAUAGGCCCCAAGCCCCCAACCACUUUGCCUCUGUGAUUAAGAACCUCAUUCUUUGCCUUUUAGCUAACCCACCGCUGCUGUAAAAGUCAAUGAUUUUGUUUAUUUUUUUGUGUCAACUGAAUUGAAAGCUUUGUCCACUUUUAGCAAAGUCCCAUAAUGGGUUCAACUACGUUACGGCAGUGGCACGUAUCAUUUCUUUUUGUCUUCUGUGACAAGUUUUCAUAUAACCUCUUCUACUCAUUUUUAUUUAAUAUUUAUUCUAUAAGUAUUAAGUUAAUUUCUAUCUACACUUACAGCUACAUUUCGGUCAGCUCUUUAUACUAUUUUAUAUUUAUAGAUUUUUUGUUCAAUGUUGCACAUGUAUCACAAUGCCCCCUCUUUAUUAUUUUGAAGUUAAAUCAUUGACAUGUUUAAUUUAAAACCUUACACUCCUUUUUAAUUAUAAUUUUUUUUAAUUAUUAGGGUAGUUUUUUACAUUUGCUAUCACUUAUAUACUCUUUUUAUUUUGAAUUUUUUUUAUAGAUAUUAUGAUACUUUUUUCUUGUAUUCAUAACAAAUUAUAUAAUCCCAAUAGUUCUAUUACAAAAGUAUUAUAUUUUUUCACACUCUUAUUUUUAUUAUGUUAUUUAAUUCAAUUAUUUUUAUAUUAUGGGUGCAUUUAUAAUUGUUUUUUGCUAUAUUCGACCUCUAGACUCGUGAUUUUGUUAGUAAUCACCUGCUGUUUACUGUUAUAUUUUCAAUUAGACCAAUAAUAUUUUCUAGGUUUUGUAUGGUUUAUUAUGUAGUUUUUCAUAUAAUCAUAUACUUGUUUUACCUUGGUCUGGAUUUGGAGAUUUUGCAAUAUUUAUGGACACAUGGCGCAUUGUAAGUGGCUAUAGAUUUUAGAACUUACAAGAUAUAUUAACUAAUAUUAUUUAAAUUUAUUAAUAAAAGAAACUUAAGUAAUUAGUAGAUAUAAUUAUUAUUAUUAGAAAAUUUUAAUUUAUUAUAAUUUAAUUUGAUCAUCAACUACUAACCGUAUUAUGCAAACAAUGGGGCAAAUCUUAGUGUUAGCAUUAUUAUAAUUAUUACUGUUAACUACAAUUUUAUGUGAACUUGAGUAGCUAGAAAAUAUAAAUAAGAAUUAGUUUGUAUUUCUCCUUUCUUUUGAUUGGUGAUUUAUUUCUACUUUCUCACUAGUAAUAUGCCAGAUAGAAGAAUAAUUAAGAAUUGCAGAUUCACAAGGGUUGGAAUUAGCAUUGAUUUUGUAAUGAAUUUUUAUGAUUAAUUUGAUUGUCUAUAUAUAAAGCAUAGACAUGCGGUUGCAUAGUUAUAGUGGUUUAUUUAAGCAAGGAAAAAUUAAUAGGCCAGUGGAUUUGGUAUUAAUUGGUUGAAGUAUGUAUGUAUACAUAUCCCAUCUUUUCAAUGUCACCACUACCUGUUUUUUCUCCUUUAAUUUGACAUUAUAUUAUUAAUUUUUUUUUUAACUAUCUAUGAAGGAUAAGAAAUUUUACUAAAUUAUAGUUCAAUAUAGCCUAAUGAGAAAAAAAAUAAGGCAAUACAACCUAAUACAACAAAUAAUGACGAACUAAAUGCACCCAUAAGAUAAGAAUACUUAAAUUAAAUAAAAUGAUAAAAACAACAGUACAAAAGAAAUUACAAUAUUUUUUGUAAUAGAACUAUUAGGAUUACAUAAUUUGCUAUGCAUGUAAGUAAAAAGUACUAUAAUAUUUAUUAAAAAAAAAUUGUAAUAUAAAGAGUGUAAAGUAUUAAAUGAAAUUUGAGAGUAGAUUUAAAAAAAUCCUAAUACUUAAAAAAAAUGUUUAAGGUUCUAAAGUAAACAUGUCAAUUAUUUAAUUUCAAAAUAGUAAAGAAGGGGUAUUGUGAUACAAGUAUAAUAUAGAAUAAAAAUUCAUAAAUAUUAAAUAUGUAAGGUGCUAAUUGAAAUGUGUAUGUGAAUGUAGGUAGAAAUUAACUUCAUAUUUAUGAAUCAAAGUUUAAAUACAAAUGUGUGGAAGGGGUUAUACGAAAAUUUAUAAUGUACCGCCACAAAAGACAAAAAUAAAUGGUAUGGUACUACUAAUGCAACAUAGCUGAACCCUAAUUUUAAAAAAAAGUAUUAAAAAUUGUGACUAAUUUUAGUUUACACCAGCUGGAAUUUGUAGAAGCAAAUGCCAAUCAUGCCUGGUGUGCAAUUAAUAAUGUGGGCGAAGACAAUUUGGGAGCUUGGAACUCUCCAAACUCCAAUGAGAUAAUAAAAUACGUUAGUUAAUAAAACUAACUAGCAAGUAGCAAGCACACAUUAUCAUUUUAUUUUGUAUAUGAAAAUUUGACACUCUUUAACAUUGUGUUUUUUCGUUUAUGUUUAUUAUGAGCUCGACUUUUUGUUCAUGAAAAUUUGACAUUCUUUAACUUUGGCGGGUUGGUAAGUGUAUAACGAGCUACACUUAUUUAUUUAUUUGGAAAAAAGACACAUAUUUACAUUUGAGAAAAUAAUCAUAAAGACAUCUAAAUUUUUAAAAAGGGACUCCAAAUCUCCUUUUUAAUUAUAAUAUCCUUUGGUUUAUAAUUGAAAAGUUGACUUUAAAAUUUUUUAAUUAAUACAAAUUUAAUAUAUGUAAUAUAAUCUAUCUAGUAGACUAAUAAUAUUAAAUUAUUUUUAACAUUUAAUAUAAUAUUAAAAAUUUAAAUUAUUACAUUUAUUUUAAUAAUACAUUUUUAUUUAUUAUAAAGAUUUAAAAAAUCUCUGUAUUAAAUAUAUUUUGCAAUUAACAGAAUAUAUCCAUGUUAAUAAUAAUAAUAUUAUUAUUUUUUCAUAAUAUUCGAAAUAAUUUUAAUCUUUUAUUCUAAUAUUAUGUUUCUAUCUAUUAUUAAAAAUUACUUUAAUUAUAAUAUAAUUGGUCUAAUAUAUUGUAAAAUAUUAAAAUUAUUUUAAAAUGUCGAUAUUAUUACAUUUAUUUUAAUGCCACAUUUCUAUUUAUUAUAAAAUUUUAAGGUCAAUUAUUUUGGGUUUAUAAAGUCAAAGGGUAUUAUUAUAAAAAAAAAGCCUUGAUGUCCCUUAUUAAAAACUUGAGGUUCUUGUAAUCAUUUUCCAAAACUAUGGAGGUGUAUGUGUCCUUUGUUGUAUUUAUUUUUAUGAAAAUUAAAGUUUUUUUUUAAAAAAAAGAAUCCAAUGAAUUCAAUCUUCAAAGAGUGUGAGAAUCAAAAGCUUAUUCUACGGUUAUUGCUAAAUAUGAUAGAAGAUAAUUGACGUAGUUGUUAUCUAGUACUAUGUCAAUCCCAGAUUGAAUUUGGUUUAAUAUUCUCCAAGAGUGAUAGUGUAUGCAAAUGUUUCAUUUUAAAUUUUCUUUAUUUAAUCUAAUGGCAAAUAAAAUUUUCUCCCAUCCGUAUUAACAGAUUCGAACAAAUAUUUUGUUUUUAGUUCAAGAAAUUUUACCAAUUAUAUAUGUUAGUAAUUAAUAUAAGAAGAAUUACUAAUUUACAAGUUGUGUUAAGUUUUUGGACUGAGAAAACUAAGGUAGUAUUUGUUCUUUUAUCUAAAAUCUGGAUGGAUUUGAAUAUAAUUGAAGUCUGAAUGGAUCUGAAUUCAUGUGUAAGAAUAAUAUGCUUGUUUUUUUUAUUUUUUGACAUCAAAUGUAGCAGUAAGUUAUUUAUUUUUAUAAACUCAAAAUAUCUUAAAUAUAAUAUUUUUAUACUUAUGAUCUUGAAAGUGUUAUGUAUACUUGAAAUUUUUAAUAGGUAUAUAUAUACAGUGUUUUCUUAACUAAAUAAGUUCAUGCAAUUGAUUGUUGUUAUUAUCGAAUAAUCAUUUUUAGGUUGCCUUUAUUAGUUUAACACAAUGCUACUUUGUCAAAAAAAAAAAGUUACCAUUAUUAUUAAUAGGUCGGCGGCGAUCAUUUUUUUGUUUUUUAGCUCACUGAUAAUUGACAUGGAAUAAGAUGUUUUAGAUAUAUACGAUAUAUUUUACAUAAUCACACGUACUCGUACCUUUUAAAAUACUUAUCAUAAUGUCAAAUAUUUUUAUAUUAUUAUGAAUUGUUGAAAAAUUAUUUUAGAACAAUAUAAAAAUAUCUGUAUACAUGGUAGUCAAACAACAAUUUGAGCAUUGCUAUUAUUUUCCGAAAAUAUAGCUAAGUUUUCUGAAUGAAUAGUGUCCCUUGGAUUCGGUUGGAUUUGAUGCCGUACGACAGAAUUGCUGUGGCCGGAGGGUAAUGUAGUCGCACUGGGCAAACAAUAAUUGACAUUUCACAUUCGGCUAUUUAUGAUGUAGGCCCAACUAUAUGUGUCCAACUUUGGAGGCUGGUAGGUAUAUGAUAUAUCCAAUUAAUAAGCUCCGCUUAUUUAUUUAUUUUUAUAAAAAUUCAAAUUUUUUUCCCCUAAAAAUAUCCGAUGGAUUCAUUCUUCGAGGAGUGUGCUAAAUAUACAAGGGAGCUUGCUAACUUACAGAUUCUGUAAGUUACAGCUCACUCACAAAUUUGAUUGUGGUUCCCACUCGGGCCCACAGCCAAUACUAUUUAACACUAUUCAUGUGAGGGUUGUUACUUACAGAAUCUGUAAGUUAGCCCUUUCCAUAUACAAGAUGAUAGUUGGUAGUUAUUGUCUAGUAAUAGAUCCCAGAUUGAAUUUGAUUUAAAAUCCAGGAGCAUCGCUCCCGCAAAUGUUUCAUUUUAAAUUUUCUUUGUUUAAUCCAAUGGCAAAUAAAUUUUUCUCCCAUCCGUAUUAACGGUUCGAACAAAUAAUUUUAUUUUCAGUUCAAGAAAUUUUAUCAAUUAUGUUAAUAAUUAGUACUCACAUAAUUAUUGUUGGGAAGUUUAUGGAUAAAACAAAUAUGUAACUAAAGUGAAAUUGAGAAAUAAUGAAACACAAAAUCACACAGGUACAUCAUAAAUGACGUGAUUCUGCUUUUAGUCUACGUUCACGGGCGAAAAUAGAUGAAAAAUAUUUUACUAAUGAAAAUGAGUUAUAAAUAUUGUAAUAUUUUAGCUCAUUUCCCAAAACUUCAAUACGCCCAAACUCUCAAAUAAUUAAACUCUUCUCAAAAUGAAUUUGAAGAGGAAGAGAAAAACUUGAUGCUGAGGACAGAAAUAAAGCCCUCUAUUUAUAGCUUCAUUUUGUGCCCUUUUUCAAUUAAAAUAAUUAUUAUAUUAUUAUAUUAUUUUUUUCUUCGCCCUGAACACUGCGGCACCUCUUUUUCUUCCUUUCUUUUUUUUUUUCUUUUGUUCCAGUCAAAGAAGAAAGCCACUCCUUCUUCAAAAUGGGCGGGCUCGACUUCUAGAAGGGUGGUGCCCGCAUGCCAUUUUUGUCAUUCUCCCACUUGGAGAUUUGAUUGCGAGACAAUCAUAUCUCCACACUAUCAUUUUUGUUUCGCCAUUGUCAUUGCUUACGUCUCUGCUAGGCCACAAGAUGACCUACUCUAGAUAAACUUGUUUGUAUUGAUCGACUUGAUCAAAACAUCUGUCAGGUUCUCCUUAGUAUGGAUUUUCUGCAAAUCCACACUUUCAUCUUCCACUAUUUCACGAAAGAAAUGAUAUUGUACCCCUAUGUGCUUUGUCUUGGAAUGAAAGAUUGGAUUCCUUGCAAUAUGCAAGGCACUUUGACUGUCACAAAACACAGAAAUUUUCUGUUGUUUGUGCCCGAGCUCCUUCAAUAAAUUUUGUAUCCAAAUAGCUUCCUUACAAGCUUGUGUAGCUGCCAUGUACUCUGCUUCUGUUGUAGAUAGAGCCACAACGGUCUGCAGUUUCAAAACCUAGCUUACAACUCCUUCUGCAAGUGUAAACAUAUAGCCAGUAGUUGAUUUUCUUUUAUCAAGAUCUUCUGCAAAAUCUUAAUCUACAUAGCCCCUAAUAGUAAACUCUGAUCUUCCAUAACAUAAUACAACAUCUGAGGUUCCUCUAAUAUAUCUUAAAAUCCUCUUCACAACUAUCUAAUGCUCUUUACCAGGAUUCGCCAUGUAUCGACUGAUUGCUCCCACUGCUUGUGCAAUGUCUGGUCUAGUAUAUAUUAUAGCGAACAUCAAACUUCCCACUGCUGAUGCAUAUGGUACUCGAAACACUUCCUUCCUCUCUGUUUCGUUGCUAGGACACAUACUUGAGGAAAAUUUGAAAUUAAUAGGAAGUGGGGUAGAAAUUGACUCACAAUCUUGCAUGUUGAAGCGUCGUAAGAUUUUCUUCAAGUAAUUCUUUUGAGAAAGCCAAAUCUUCUUGUUAUUUCUGUCUUGGUGAAUUUGCAUCCCUAGAAUCUUAUUUUUUGGUCCCAAGUCCUUCAUUUCAAACUCCCUAGCCAAUUGUGCCUUCAAUUCUUGGAUUCGAUCUUUGUUGGGGCCUGCAACCAGCAUGCCAUCCACGUACAACAACAAAAUAAUGAAAUCAUUAUUUUCAAAUCACCUGUAACAUGUACAAUGGCCUGAACUGAGUCUGUUGUAUCCAAGGCUCAUGAUGAAGGAAUCAAAUCUCUUAUACCAACAGCUCGGUGCCUGUUUGAGACCGUAUAGAGAUUUGUUCAACCUGCAAACCAAGUUCUCUUUUCGUUUUUCAGCAAAACCUUCUGGUUGGAGCAUAUAAAUUUCUUCUUCAAGUUUUCCAUGAAGAAACACAGUUUUCACAUUGAACUACUCUAGAUGUAGGUCAAAUGUAGCACACAUCGCCAAGACUACUAUGAUUGUUGUAAGUUGAACCACCGAGAAAAAUAUCUCGUUGAAGUCAAUACAUUCUCUCUAAGCAUAUCCUUUCACUACUAAUCUUGCACGAUAUCGCUCCACUUAGUCAUUGCCAUCACACUUGAUCUUGUAGACCCAUUUGUUUCUAAUGACUUUUCUUCCACGUGGUUGUGGUACAAGUUCCCAUGUCUUAUUCUUGUGUAGAGCUUCAAUUUCUUCAUGCAUUGCUGCCAUCCACAAAGUAACAUCUGAGCUGUUUAAAGUUUCAUGGAAAGUUGAUGGCUCUCCAUCCACUAUUAAAAGACAAUAUGCAACAUUGAUCUAUGUGACAUAACCUGAGUGCCACACUGGCGGUCGUCUCUCACAAGUUAAUCGACAAACUUCUAGAGCCUCGGACUCGAUUGGUUCUUGUUCCUCAUGCUCUGGUGCUGCUUCAGAAGAAUCUGAAUCUUCUGGAUUAUUUUCCACAUAUAUCGGCACAGUCUCUGACUUUUCUUUUACAGUGUUAUCAUCCAUAUCUCUCAUUUGCAGUUAAUCUUUUUCAAAAAUAACAUCUCUACUGAUGACGAUCUUGUGAGCAGUGGAGUCCCACAGACGAUAACCCUUUACUCCAUCAGCAUAUCCCAAGAAUAUGCAUCUUCUAGAUUUUGGAUCCAGCUUUACUCUUUCUUGUGCAUUGUACAUCACGUACAGGACAUCCGAAUGCAUGUAGGUGCGAGUAAUCUGCUGGCUUUCCAGUCCACAUCUCCAUCAGAAUCUUCAACCCAAUUAUCGUGGAUAGCGACCGAUUUACUACAUAAUAGGCAGUUUUGGUUGCUUUUGCCCAGAAUGAAUUAGGUAGACCCACAGUUCUCAACAUAGAUCUUAUUUUUUUUUGUAAGAUUUCUGUUCAUCUGCUUCGUCACUCCAUUUUGUUGAUGAAUGUAUGCCACCGUGAACUACCUCUGAAUACUUUCUUACUUAUAGAAAGUAAGAAACUCACCGUCUGUAUAUUCUCCACCAUUAUCUGUCCUCAAGCACUUUAUCAUCUUCCAAGAUUCAAGUUCUACAUAUGCUUUGUACUGUUUGAACACUGGAAACACAUAUGAUUUUUUUCUUAAUUGGAUACGCCCAACAUCUCCUGGAAUUAUCAUCAAUAAAAAUCACCAAGUACUUUGGACCUCCCAUGGACAUAUCUAGUGAUUCCCAAACAUCAGAAUGAACAAAGUCUAGAAUGCAUUUACUUCUGGCUUCAGAUCUUAUGAAUUUCAAUCUAUACUACUUACUUGUAACACAUUGCUCGGGAAACGGUAAGUUCACCGACUUGAGCUCCGAAAGAAAUUUUUACUCAGAGAGAAUCUUCUAACCUUACUUUGACAUAUGGCCGAGUUUGAGAUGCCACAUCAUCGUUGAUUCUUCUCCAUUCGACGCGACACACGCAUAAGCUUCCUGUGGUGUUUUUUUUUAAAGCAUGAAUAGAUUAGCAACGAUCUUUUCCGCCCUCAUCAAUACAAGCGCGCCUCUUGUAAUCUUCAUGAUCCUAUUUUCAAUAUGGGUUUUGCACCUAUGACUAUCUAUUUGUCCCAAAGACAAUAGAUUAUUCUUCAGGCCUUUGACAUGUCGUACCUCCCCAAUUGUGCUAAUUGUGCCAUCAAACAUUUUUAUUUUAAUAGUACCAAUACCAGUGAUCUCCAAGGCAUGAUCAUCUCCCAUAUAUACAGAUCCUCUUGAGAUAUGUUCAUAUGUGUGGAACCAUUCUCUCCGAGAGGUCAUGUGCCAGGUAGCUCCUGAGUCUAUGACCCAAAUAUCAGAUAACUGUUUUCUACCUUUUGAAACAGUUGUUGCCUCGCCGUAGAGAACUUCGUCAUCAUCCGAGGUACUUGCUACACACCCCUAAGCAUUAGGUUCUUUACCCUUUCUUCUCUUCUGGUUGUUCCAACAUUCCUCUUGACAUGCCAUUUCUUGCCACAAUUAUAGCAUUUAAUAUUCUUCUUACUUCUAGAUUUGGAUUUACCAUGAUUGUGACUCCUACUGGGGCCAUGUGCCGUUGAUCUCCCUCUCGUCACCGAUAGCGCUUCUGCUUAUUGCGAACUUACUUGUUUAUCUUCCUUACUUUUCUACCUGCUCUCCUUAUUUAAUACGGAGGCUGCAACAUCGUCGAAAACUAAACUGUUUGCUGGAUUAUUAUUUGUCAGGUUAAUGAUGAGUUGAUCAUAUGAAUCUGGUAGACUUUGAAGUAAAAGCUCUAAACGUUCAUUUUCCUCUAUUUUAUGACCCAACGUUGUGAGUUGGGAAAAUAGAGUCUUCAAAGUAUUGAUAUGGUCGGCCACCAAUGUAGAUUCCGCCAUUCGAAAAAAUAUAGAGUCUCAUUUUUUAAGAAAAUCUUAUUGUGCGGUGAUAACUCUAUGAAAUGAGAGUUAUUACAUCAAUUCUAAACUUGAAUCAAGAUCACUUAGAGAGCAAAUAAGGCGUUUUUAUUACAUUUUGGUUAUAUUUUGCAUAAACAUUCAUUUUAGUUGAGUCUUAAUAAGUUUUGCUUGAAUCAAAGUAAUUUGUGCUCAAAACAGGUGUAUAAUUAUAGAUUUUUAGAAAUCCUUAAUUCAUAAAUGAAUGCUGAGACAUUAGACUAGCAAGAGGAGGAAAGAAGAUGGCCACAAAAGAAGUAAAGAACAAUCGAGAACAAUGCAGUGUUGUAGCUGUUGUUAGAGCAACUAGUGCUGUGGUAAUCUGGGAGCAUUGAGGGAGAAAACUUAAGCGCGGGUAAGCUGCAGAAUUGCGAUCUGCAUGUUUUCUAAUUUAACUCAUGCAUGCUAGGGGUGGGUAAAAUAACCGAUCCGACCCGAUCCGAUCCGAAAUAAAUCGGGUUCAGAUCGGAUCGGAUUGACCAUAAUACCCGAUCGGAUGAAAUGUUGCCAACCUGAUCGGAUCAUAAUCGGAUCGGGUGAAAUCCGAUCCGAUCCAACAACCCGAACGGGUUGGCUUAAAGAAGAAAGUAAACAACCCUCACUGAUUACAACACACAUGCAUCCAGCAACAAGUAGUCAAGCACCAGUGAUGCCACAGAGCACAGGGCAACAGACCACACGCUACACAGCCUCACACACCACACACGUAUACGGCACACAUCACAGAUAUGGAGGCACAAAACCAGUAAAGAUAGAGGCACAAAAACAGUAGACCACACAUUCAACGCACCCAGCCGCACCCAGCAGCCUCACUCCCCUCCCUCACGCCUCACGGCCUCCCCCUCAAGCCUCAACGAGAGACCACACAGCACACACCAACCUUUGCUCCCCUCCCUCACGCCUCAUGGGUCAUUGCCCCACCCUCAAGUCAACACUCAACACCGCCAACGCCAAGUAGAAACACACACACACACACACACACAGCUGCAACCAACACAUGCUUGUCACAAUCACCGCUGACGCCAACCACCAGUCGAUCUACUGCUCAGCGAGGACCGCGACCAGAUAUGCUGCUCCGCGAGGACCGCGACCAGAUAUGCUGCUCCGCGAGGACCGCGACCAGAUCUGCUGUUACCGCCUACCGAUCUGCUGUCUCCGCGCCUCCACACACUUCAUUACCAAGUUUCUUCUCCAAGUUCCAUUCGUAAUCCAGCAAGCGGCAGCCUGAAUUUUUAUUUUGAGUUUGGAUUUUUGAGUUUAGUUCAAAUACGGACAGUUGUAAUGUGUAAUAUAUUAUAUAACAUAUGUUAAAUCAUUGAUUAGGAAUUGUUAACCGAACCCGAUCCGAACCGAAUUAAACCCAAUUUUUUUAUCCGAUCCGAUUCUAUUCGGAUCGGAUCAGGUCGGGUUGUCAAUUUGGGUUGAAUUCAUAUGAGUUUUUGUUCGACCCGAUCAACCCGAAAUCCGAUCGGGUUGAUCCGAACUCGAUUUUGCCCAGCCCUAAUGCAUGCCACAGACUUUUAUUUACCCUAGUUUGCAGUAUAAAAGGAGGGCGCGCACUACAUAAAAGACGGCAAUGAAUUAACAUUGGAGAAAUCGAGAGAAAAAGAAGAAAACAAUCAGAAUUCAAGAGAACCGAGUCUGCAUCAGUGAAGAAUCCAGCAGAGUUAUUUGGAUUCAAUCUUCAUCGUUCUCUACUUAUUCUUUUCUUUACUCUUUGAUUGAACCGAUGUCUUUCGUGACCAAUAUUUUGCUGUUUGUUUUUCUCAUUUAGAAUAUGAACUAGAUUUGCUUGUAGUUGAGUGACAAACAAUCUAAUGGGUUCUUGACUAUUCUUAUGUGUUGUUAUGUCAUUGUUGUAGCAUUUUAUUCUAGUAGUUAUUAUUAAUAUAACUGUUAUUUCGGUUGACCACCCAUUUAAUAGUUCAAGUUAAGAUAGAGCCGCAAAAGGGCAUGUCUUAGGGGAUAUUAUUAGAGUAUUACUUGAUUUUAAUUUAAGUUUCCUGGAUUAAGUUAUCUUGAAUCCCAUAAGGGCUAUACAUGAAGUUAAGAUUUGUGACACACUAGACAUAGGUGCUCACCUUGUAGGGUGGAGAGACUAAAGGGUCAUAAGGUCAUAUCAUAAGUAGAUUAGUAACUGGUCAUUGUUAAUAUAUUUAAGGGUGUGAGAGUUCCAAUACGCGACAGCUGAGGAUGCAGAUUAAUUAUGCCCAGUGCUGCAGCACUUGCCGUAACAAUUGGUGUUAACUUGAUGAAAAACAGUCAGCCUAUAAGGAGAGUUUGAUCAUUCAACUACCAUAGUCUCAAUUGAAUCUUAGACACAUUUUAUCUAAUAUUUUAUUACGGUAUUGUUUUAUUUAAUUCUCUCAUAAUCAUCAAUCAUGAUAAAACUUAAUUUACGAUUGUUAACUUCGGCCUUAAGUUGGUUUGAUUACUAACAUGCGGCGAUGUGGCCUUGUACAAUUUUGUAAGAGUAUCUCAUAUUUCUUUUGCCGUCUUUUUCUCCUACACACUGGAUAACACCCCAUCUGCAAGUGCCAGGUGUAGAUCAGCAAUGGCAUUGCCGUCCAUCUCAUUCCACUUGUCAUCCUCAGUUAUCUCUAUGAGUCUUUCUCUAAUUAUUGCCAAGCAAUUAUUUUUCCUCAAAAUUGCCUGCAUUUUCAUUUUCCAUAAGGAGAAAUUAUUCUCAUCGAACUUUUCAAUUUUAUAUUUACUGCCAUUUUCUUACUAAAUACAGCACACAAGCUAGUGUACCACCCUGAAUAGUUAUGAGUAUGUGUGAAAAUGCACACCAGAAAAGUUCUCAAGAAAGACUGGAGUGGUCACAAUGGUCCCACUUAAAACCCAUACUCCUUAGACUCUUAUCGCCUUUGUGACAAAACUUUUCUAGACUUGUACAAAACCAUACAGUUGCUCUACUUACACCACUAUUCCUUGUUUUGCACUGCCAAAAUUAUUGGAUCGCUUCCAUCGUUUCUCAUUAAUAGUAUCAUAUAUAUAAAUAGUACCAUAUACAUGAAUAGCACCGUAUACGUGAACAAUACCCUUUACGUGAACAGUACCCCGACUCUAAAAAAUACAACCAAUAGCUCUGAAACCACUGUUGGGAAGUUUAUGGGUGAAGCAAAUACGCAACUAAAGUGAAAUUGAGAAAUAAUGAAACACAAAAUCGCACAAGGAUACCAGAAAUUACGUAGUUCGGCUUUUAAUCUACGUCAACGGGCGAAGACAGAAGGAAAAUAUUUUACUAGUGAAAAGGAGUUACAAGUACUGUAGUAUUUUAGAUCAUUUCUCAAAACCCUAAUACACCCAAACCUAAAAUCACUAAACUCUUUUCAAAAUGGAUAUGAAGAGGAAGAGAAAAACUUGAUGUUUAGGACGGAAAAGAAGCCCUCUAUUUAUAACUUCAUUUCUUAUCCUCUUUUCAAUUAAAAUAAUUAUAUUAUUAUUAUAUUUUUUUUCUUCGCCCUGAGCGGUGCGACACCUCUUUUUUUUCCUUUCCAUUUUUUUUUCUUUUAUUCCAAGAAGCAACGCCUCCUUCCUCAAAAUGGACGGGCCCACCUUCUAGAAUGGUCGUGCCCGCAUGCCAUUUUUUGUCAAUUAUUUGAUUUUUUUUAUUUCUUCGGUUCUUAUCGGUUGAACUAAUUUACAUGAUGAGUAGUGCAAUGUGUCCAUAUAUUACAUAUGAGUGGUAAUUUAUCACAAAUACAGUGACAUUUCAUCCAGGAGUGGCUGUCCUUGUUGAUAAAUUGAAAUUAGCGCAAACCUUGAGGACAGACAUGAAAAAAUGAGAACACGAGCAUGAUUGGUGAUGAGAUAUAAUAUAGCUGAACCCCUGCCUUGACUGAUUCAAUACAAAGGGAGGAAAAAAGAAGGAAAACAGGAGCAACCAAUUAAGAAAGAAGCAAAUUUAUAAUCAUGGCUUCUACAGCAGAUCAUGAAGAAGAGACAAAUAAUUUUUCAUAUGCAAUGGAACUGGCAAGUGCCAUAGUGCUACCUGCAGCUAUGCAAGCAGCGGUAGAGCUUGAUGUGUUUGAGAUCAUAAGCAAAGCUGGUCCCGGUGCUAAGCUUUUGGUUUCGGAAAUUGUGGCUCAAAUUCCCUUAAAAGGUAAUAAUCCUGAAACUGCAGCCAUGACGUUGGAGCGGGUGCUGAGGCUGCUUGUCAGCUACAAUGCUCUUCAUUGCUCUUUUGUUGAUGGACAAAGGCUCUACUCUCUUGCUCCUGUUUCUGCAUACUUCGUUCGCAAUAAUCAAAACGGCGCGUCGUUGCGUCCCUACAUGGCCUGGUGUCUUGACAAGGUCCUCAUGGAUGGCUGGUAUAUAGAAUUACUUUUUCUCUUUUCUUUUCUUUGCUAAUUUUAGUAAAUUAAGGAAAAUUAUCAAAACCUUCUAGUUGUAUAUAUCCAAAAAUUAAUCAUUUGUAUCACAUGUUUUGAACCCAUCAAAAUCCGUCAGCUGCUAAAAAGACAGCUAUCUUCAAUUAUUUUAUUUUGUUGUGGUAAAAAACAAAAAAAAAAGCUUAAAGUCCAAGCGUUUUUGAAAUAUGAAAGUAGAAAGGAUUGAUUGUAACAAACAAUUAAUAAAGUAUUCUUUAUCUUGGUUAAUUAUGCGGUCUAAUUUUACAAACUAAGCUUCUAAAAUUGUUACUAACUGUGUUUGGAUUUUGGAAAAUUCAGGUUUCGGUUGAAAGAGCAAAUUCUUGAAGGAGGAAUGGCGUUUAAUAAAGUGCACGGAAUGGAUAUGUACGAUUACAUGGGCGUUGACUCAAGAUUCAAUGAUGUUUUCAACAAUGGAAUGUCAAGCCACACUUCUGUCGUCAUGGAGAAGGUCCUAGAAUCAUACAAAGGCUUUGAGCAUGUUAAGAAGCUUGUCGAUGUUGGUGGCGGCUUAGGAGCUACUCUUAACAUUAUAAUUUCCAAAUACUCUCAUAUUAAGGGUAUUAAUUAUGAUUUACCUUAUGUUAUUAAAAAUGCCCCAUCUUACCCUGGUAUGUUACUUACAAAAUUUAUAUACUAUUUUUGUUAAUGAUUCAUUGAUGGGAUACACAAUAGCUAACAAAAAUUAUUAUUAUUAUUAUUAUUUUAAUUUCAGGCAUUGAACAUGUAGGUGGAGAUGUUAAAGUAUGAGCUUUAAACUGAAUUCCAGAAGAUCAACCGUCAUGUCAGUCUGUGGUAAUGUUGAUAUACGACAUGUCAGCUAUAAAGGAUACAAGCCUGUAUGACAAACUUUGGUCGUCAGCCAAAGCUUUAAGUGAAGCACGUAAAUGUCACGUGAUUCCACUUACUCUGAACGGCAUGAAAGAAUGUCGUUUUGGGGCUUGCUGUUUGUAAGGGUUUCAACACGUGUCCUGGAAGCUGUUAAAAUCAGUUAUUGCAGGCGGGAGAAUUCUGGGUUUGUAAGCUAACAAACCCAGAUUACAGCUGGUUGACAGGGGGUCUUUGUAACGGGCUCUAAGCUAGUAUAAAUAGUCUAAGGGACUGGGAAAUCAGAGAGGGUGUUGUUUGUAACUUCGUCUCUAAACUUGUAACUUGUUCUUGGUUAUUGAAUAAAAGCUGUUGCUCUGUUCUUCAGUGGAUGUAGGCUGCCUCCAGCCGAACCACUUAUAUUUGUUGUUCUUUGCAUAUUGUUUCUGGGUGAUUUAGAUGUGUGAAAUUGGUUUAACCUUUCUUGAAACAUUGAUUAGAGAGUUCAGCUAGAUCCUGGAGAUUCUUGAUUGGAUAAUAAUUCUGGUCUAGGUUCAACAAAUUGGUAUCAGAGCCUUAUCUCUGAUCUUUGAUCCAAGAAAUGGGAACCUCUAAAUUUGAGGUAGAAAAAUUCACUGGAGAAAACGACUUCCAUCUAUGGCGGCUCAAGAUGAGAGCUCUGUUGGUUCAUCAGGGGCUGGAGGAGACUUUGGGUGAUCCAAGAUCUGAAAAGAAACCCAGCAAGCUUUCUGAUGAUGAAAUGCGAGAUGCUUUGGAUAAAGCUCAUAGCACACUAAUCUUGAGUCUGGGAGAUGGAGUUCUCAGGGAAGUGGGAGAUCAAACAACUGCUGCAGGCCUCUGGAUAAAACUUGAAGACCUAUAUACCAAGAAGUCUCUAACCAAAAGACUUUGUACCAAAAAGAGGCUGUAUACUUUGCAAAUGGAGGAAGGAAGCUCUCUGGCAACUCACAUUGAUAGCUUUAACAGGAUCAUCCUGGAUCUUGAAGAUAUCAAUGUGAGUCUUGAGGAUGAAGACAAGGCAAUAAUCUUGUUAGCAUCUCUCCCACCAUCCUAUGAACACUUUGUAGAUACACUGCUCUAUGGAAGGCAGUCAAUAUCAAUGGCUGAUGUAAAGGACUCUCUUAGUUCUAAAGAAGUCACAAAGAAGACAGAAACAAGAGCUGGGGAAGGUCUGAUGGCAAGAGGAAGACCUGAGAAGAAAGAAUACAACAAAGGGAAGAAAAGGGACAAGUCAAAGUCCAAGAAUAAAAACCUGAAAUGCUUUCAUUGCCAUAAAGAAGGGCAUUUCAAAAGGGACUGUCCAGAUAGAAAGAACAAGGAUAAAGAAGGGCAUGGAAAGAAUGGUGAUGCUGCUGUUGCAUCCGAGGAUGAGGGCUAUGACUCAGCUGGUGUCCUUUUGGCCUCUGAAACUCAGACAAACAGUAAGUGGAUUCUUGACUCUGGAUGUUCAUAUCACAUGUGCCCUGAUCAAAAUCUUUUUACUACUUAUAAUGCUUUUAAUGGAGGUGAGGUUCUGAUGGGGAAUAACACAAUGUGUAAGGUUGUUGGGUUAGGAACCAUUAGAUUUAAGAUGUUUGAUGGGAUNNNNNNNNNNNNNNNNNNNNNNNNNNNNNNNNNNNNNNNNNNNNNNNNNNNNNNNNNNNNNNNNNNNNNNNNNNNNNNNNNNNNNNNNNNNNNNNNNNNNNNNNNNNNNNNNNNNNNNNNNNNNNNNNNNNNNNNNNNNNNNNNNNNNNNNNNNNNNNNNNNNNNNNNNNNNNNNNNNNNNNNNNNNNNNNNNNNNNNNNNNNNNNNNNNNNNNNNNNNNNNNNNNNNNNNNNNNNNNNNNNNNNNNNNNNNNNNNNNNNNNNNNNNNNNNNNNNNNNNNNNNNNNNNNNNNNNNNNNNNNNNNNNNNNNNNNNNNNNNNNNNNNNNNNNNNNNNNNNNNNNNNNNNNNNNNNNNNNNNNNNNNNNNNNNNNNNNNNNNNNNNNNNNNNNNNNNNNNNNNNNNNNNNNNNNNNNNNNNNNNNNNNNNNNNNNNNNNNNNNNNNNNNNNNNNNNNNNNNNNNNNNNNNNNNNNNNNNNNNNNNNNNNNNNNNNNNNNNNNNNNNNNNNNNNNUGUUUUCUUAACUAAAUAAGUUCAUGCAAUUGAUUGUUAUUAUUAUUGAAUAACUGUUUUUAGGUUGCCUUUAUUAGUUUAACAACAAUGGUACUUCGUCAAGAGAAUGAGUUACCAUUAUUAUUAAUAGGUCGGCGGCGACCAUUUUUUUUUCAUUUUUAGCUCACUGAUAAUUGACAUGGAAUAACGAUGUUUUAGAUAUAUACGAUAUAUUUUAGAUAAUCACACGUAUUUGUAUAUUUUAAAAUACUUAUCAUAAUGUCAAAUAUUUUUAUAUUAUUAUGAAUUGUUGAAAAAUUAUUUUAGAACAAUAUAAAAAUAUCUGUAUACAUGGUAGUCAAACAACAAUUUGAGCAUUGCUAUUAUUUUCCGAAAAUGUAGCUAAGUUUUCUGAAUGAAGAGUGUCCCUUGGAUUCGGUUGGAUUUUAUGCCGCACGACAGAAUUGCUGUGGCCGGAGGGUAAUGUUGUCGCAGUGGGCAAACAAUAAUUGACAUUUCACAUUCGGCUAUUUAUGAUGUAGGCCCAACUAUGUGUGUCCAACUUUGGAGGCUAUUAGGUAUAUGAUAUAUCCAAUUAAUAAGCUCCGCUUAUUUAUUUAUUUUUAUAAAAAUUCAGAUUUUUUUCCCCUAAAAAUAUCCGAUCGAUUCAUUCUUCAAAGAGUGUGCUUACUGCUAAAUAUACAAGAUGAUAGUUGGCAGUUAUUGUCUAGUAAUAUGUAGAUCCCAGAUUGAAUUUGAUUUAAAAUCCAGGAGCAUCGUUCCCGCAAAUGUUUCAUUUUAAAUUUUCUUUGUUUAAUCCAAUGGCAAAUAAAUUUUUCUCGCAUCCGUAUUAAUGGUUCGAACAAAUAAUUUUGUUUUCAGUUCAAGAAAUUUUAUCAAUUUUGUUAAUAAUUAGUACUCACAUAAUUAUUUACUUAUUUUUUUUUAUUUCUUCAAUUCUUAUUGUUUGAAUUAGUUUACAUGAUGAGUAGUGCAAUGUGUCCAUAUAUUACAUAUGAGUGGUAAUUUAUCACAAAUACAGUGACAUUUCAUCCAGGAGUGGCUGUCCUUGUUGAUAAAUUGAAAUUAGCGCAAACCUUGAGGACAGACAUGAAAAAAUGAGAACACGAGCAUGAUUGGUGAUGAGAUAUAAUAUAGCUGAACCCCUGCCUUGACUGAUUCAAUACAAAGGGAGGAAAAAAGAAGGAAAACAGGAGCAAGCAAAUAAGAAAGAAGCAAAUUAUAAUCAUGGCUUCUACAGCUGAUCAGGAAGAAGAGACAAAUAAUUUUUCAUAUGCAAUGGAACUGGCAAGUGCCAUAGUGCUACCUGCAGCUAUGCAAGCAGUGGUAGAGCUUGAUGUGUUUGAGAUCAUAAGCAAAGCCGGUCCUGGUGCUAAGCUUUCGGUUUCGGAAAUUGUGGCUCAAAUUCCCUUAAAAGGUAAUAAUCCUGAAACUGCAGCCAUGACGUUGGAGCGGGUGCUGAGGCUGCUUGUCAGCUACAAUGCUCUUCAUUGCUCUUUUGUUGAUGGACAAAGGCUCUACUCUCUUGCUCCUGUUUCAGCAUACUUUGUUCGCAAUAAUCAAAACGGCGCGUCGUUGCGUCCCUACAUGGCCUGGUGUCUUGACAAGGUCCUCAUGGAUGGCUGGUAUAUAGAAUUACUUUUUCUCUUUUCUUUUCUUUGCUAAUUUUAGUAAAUUAAGGAAAAUUAUCAAAACCUUCUAGUUGUAUAUAUCCAAAAAUUAAUCAUUUGCAUCACAUGUUUUGAACCCAUCAAAAUCCGUCAGCUGCUAAAAAGACAGCUAUCUUCAAUUAUUUUAUUUUGUUGUGGUAAAAAACAAAAAAAAAAGCUUAAAGUCCAAGCGUUUUUGAAAUAUGAAAGUAGAAAGGAUUGAUUGUAACAAACAAUUAAUAAAGUAUUCUUUAUCUUGGUUAAUUAUGCGGUCUAAUUUUACAAACUAAGCUUCUAAAAUUGUUACUAACUGUGUUUGGAUUUUGGAAAAUUCAGGUUUCGGUUGAAAGAGCAAAUUCUUGAAGGAGGAAUGGCGUUUAAUAAAGUGCACGGAAUGGAUAUGUACGAUUACAUGGGCGUUGACUCAAGAUUCAAUGAUGUUUUCAACAAUGGAAUGUCAAGCCACACUUCUGUCGUCAUGGAGAAGGUCCUAGAAUCAUACAAAGGCUUUGAGCAUGUUAAGAAGCUUGUUGAUGUUGGCGGCGGCUUAGGAGCUACUCUUAACAUGAUAAUUUCUAAAUACCCUCAUAUUAAGGGUAUUAAUUAUGAUUUACCUUAUGUUAUUAAAAAUGCCCCAUCUUAUCCUGGUAUGUUACUUACAAAAUUUAUAAAGUAUUUUUGUUAAUGAUUCAUUGAGAUACACGAUAGCUAACAAUUUUUUUUUUUUUUUUUUU